AGCCUGCAACUCGGCUGCAUGAAGCUGGAAUCGCUAGUAAUCGCGGAUCAGAACGCCGCGGUGAAUGCGUUCCCGGGUCUUGUACACACCGCCCGUCACACCAUGGGAGCCGGAAACGCCCGAAGCCAGCGGCCUAACCGCAAGGAGGGAGCUGUCGAAGGCGGGGCCGGUGACCGGGGUGAAGUCGUAACAAGGUAGC
This 199-nucleotide ribosomal RNA is filed under the name uncultured bacterium. Its description in RNAcentral is "partial 16S ribosomal RNA". It matches the Rfam family "Bacterial small subunit ribosomal RNA", at positions 1302 to 1500 of the family's 1533-position model. The record is from RNAcentral.